This 406-nucleotide ribosomal RNA is filed under the name uncultured bacterium. RNAcentral's name for it is "partial 16S ribosomal RNA". It matches the Rfam family "Bacterial small subunit ribosomal RNA", at positions 30 to 526 of the family's 1533-position model. The record is from RNAcentral.
AUUGAACGCUGGCGGCAGGCCUAACACAUGCAAGUCGAACGAGUGGCGGACGGGUGAGUAAUGUCUGGGAAACUGCCUGAUGGAGGGGGAUAACUACUGAAAACGGUAGCUAAUACCGCAUACCAUCAGAUGUGCCCAGAUGGGAUUAGCUUGUGGGUGGGGUAACGGCUCACAAAGGCGACGAUCCCUAGCUGGUCUGAGAGGAUGACCAGCCACACUGGACCUAAGACACGGUGCAGACUCCUACGGGAGGCAGCGGUGGGAAAUAUUGGACAAGGGGGGCAGGCCUGAUGCAGCCAUGCCGCGUGUAUGAAGAAGGCCUUCGGGUUGUAAAGUACUUUCAGCGGGGAGACGUUACCCGCAGAAGAAGCGCCGGCUAACUCCGUGCCAGCAGCCGCGGUAAUAC